CAGUAGCCGCGGGAAUACAGAGGGUGCAAGCGUUAAUCGGAAUUACUGGGCGUAAAGUGCGCGUAGGUGGUUUGUUAAGUUGGAUGUGAAAUCCCCGGGCUCAACCUGGGAACUGCAUCCAAAACUGGCAAGCUAGAGUAUGGUAGAGGGUGGUGGAAUUUCCUGUGUAGCGGUGAAAUGCGUAGAUAUAGGAAGGAACACCAGUGGCGAAGGCGACCACCUGGACUGAUACUGACACUGAGGUGCGAAAGCGUGGGGAGCAAACAGGAUUAGAUACCCGUGUAGUCCCUGUCUCUUAUAC
This 301-nucleotide ribosomal RNA is filed under the name uncultured bacterium. RNAcentral's name for it is "partial 16S ribosomal RNA". It matches the Rfam family "Bacterial small subunit ribosomal RNA", at positions 509 to 807 of the family's 1533-position model. The record is from RNAcentral.